RNAcentral lists this ribosomal RNA (253 nucleotides) under uncultured bacterium. RNAcentral describes it as "partial 16S ribosomal RNA". It matches the Rfam family "Bacterial small subunit ribosomal RNA", at positions 524 to 776 of the family's 1533-position model. The record is from RNAcentral.
UACGUAGGGUGCGAGCGUUGUCCGGAAUUACUGGGCGUAAAGAGCUCGUAGGUGGUUUGUCGCGUUGUCCGUGAAAACUCACAGCUUAACUGUGGGCGUGCGGGCGAUACGGGCAGACUGGAGUACUGCAGGGGAGACUGGAAUUCCUGGUGUAGCGGUGGAAUGCGCAGAUAUCAGGAGGAACACCGGUGGCGAAGGCGGGUCUCUGGGCCUUACCUGACGCUGAGGCGCGAAAGCUAGGGGAGCGAACAGG